This 58-nucleotide transfer RNA is filed under the name Danio rerio (zebrafish). It matches the Rfam family "tRNA", at positions 8 to 63 of the family's 71-position model. From Rfam's summary of the family: Transfer RNA (tRNA) molecules are approximately 80 nucleotides in length. Their secondary structure includes four short double-helical elements and three loops (D, anti-codon, and T loops). The record is from Rfam by way of RNAcentral. Lineage: Eukaryota; Metazoa; Chordata; Actinopteri; Cypriniformes; Danionidae.
UAGCUCAGUUGGGAGAGCGUUAGACUGAAGUUCUAAAGGUCCCUGGUUCGAUCCCGGG